RNAcentral lists this ribosomal RNA (461 nucleotides) under Faxonius macrus. RNAcentral's name for it is "Orconectes macrus partial small subunit ribosomal RNA". It matches the Rfam family "Archaeal large subunit ribosomal RNA", at positions 2021 to 2688 of the family's 2987-position model. The record is from RNAcentral. Lineage: Eukaryota; Metazoa; Arthropoda; Malacostraca; Decapoda; Cambaridae.
GACCGUGCAAAGGUAGCAUAAUCAUUAGUUUUUUAAUUGAAGGCUAGAAUGAACGGUUGGACAAGAAAUAAUCUGUCUCAAAUUAAAAUAUUGAAUUUAACUUUUAAGUGAAAAGGCUUAAAUGAUCUAAAGGGACGAUAAGACCCUAUAAAACUUUAUAUUUUAAGGCAAGGAAUUAGUUUUAUUUAGAGGGUCAUUAUUUUAAAAUAUUCUGUUGGGGCGACAAGGAUAUAAAAUUGGAUAACUGUCUUUUAUUUUUACAAUAAUAUUUGGUUGGUUGAUCCUUGAAAGGAUUUAAGAUUAAGUUACUUUAGGGAUAACAGCGUAAUUUUCUUUGAGAGUUCUUAUCGACAAGAAAGCUUGCGACCUCGAUGUUGAAUUAAAAGUUCUUUAUAGAGUAGAGUCUAUAAAAGAAGGUCUGUUCGACCUUUAAAAUUUUACAUGAUUUGAGUUCAGACCGG